RNAcentral lists this long non-coding RNA (207 nucleotides) under Hordeum vulgare. Its description in RNAcentral is "long non-coding RNA (HVUL_LNC002725)". Lineage: Eukaryota; Viridiplantae; Streptophyta; Magnoliopsida; Poales; Poaceae. The record is from RNAcentral.
AACGCACGGUCAUUCCACUAGUAAAAUUUUACUAGCCGUAAAAAAAGGGUGUAUGUAGUAGCAUAUAUAUUGACGUCAAUGUCCUGUUAUCACAAUCACAAAUGAGUAAACAGUUGGUGUAAAAUUUCCUUCCUUUGCUCCCGUUGGAAAUUUCCUAUUUUCACACGGCCCAGUCGUUCUUUUCUUCUUCUUGUUUUCUGCGUUCAG